UACGUAGGGUGCAAGCGUUGUCCGGAAUUAUUGGGCGUAAAGAGCUCGUAGGCGGCUUGUCGCGUCGACUGUGAAAACCCGGGGCUCAACCCCGGGCCUGCAGUCGAUACGGGCAAGCUUGAGUGCGGUAGGGGAGACUGGAAUUCCUGGUGUAGCGGUGAAAUGCGCAGAUAUCAGGAAGAACACCAAUGGCGAAAGCAGCUCUCUGGGACGGUACUGACGCUGAGACGCGAAAGCGUGGGGAGCGAACAGG
RNAcentral lists this ribosomal RNA (253 nucleotides) under uncultured bacterium. RNAcentral describes it as "partial 16S ribosomal RNA". It matches the Rfam family "Bacterial small subunit ribosomal RNA", at positions 524 to 776 of the family's 1533-position model. The record is from RNAcentral.